RNAcentral lists this ribosomal RNA (392 nucleotides) under uncultured bacterium. Its description in RNAcentral is "bacterial SSU rRNA". It matches the Rfam family "Bacterial small subunit ribosomal RNA", at positions 28 to 422 of the family's 1533-position model. The record is from RNAcentral.
GACGAACGCUGGCGGCGUGCUUAACACAUGCAAGUCGAGCGGUAAGGCCCUUUCGGGGGUACACGAGCGGCGAACGGGUGAGUAACACGUGGGUGACCUGCCCUCAGCUCUGGGAUAAGCCUGGGAAACCGGGUCUAAUACUGGAUAUGACUCCAUGACGCAUGUUGUGGGGUGGAAAGCCUUGUGCGGCUGAGGAUGGGCCCNCGGCCUAUCAGCUUGUUGGGGGGUGAUGGCCUACCAAGGCGACGACGGGUAGUCGGCCUGAGAGGGCGACCGGCCACACUGGGACUGAGACACGGCCCAGACUCCUACGGGAGGCAGCAGUGGGGAAUCUUGCGCAAUGGGCGAAAGCCUGACGCAGCGACGCCGCGUGAGGGAUGACGGCCUGGUGU